CGGGAAGUAGCUUAGCUUGGUAGAGCGCCACGUUCGGGACGUGGAGGUCGCAGGUUCAAAUCCUGUCUCCCCGA
Molecule: transfer RNA, 74 nt
Filed under: Lentibacillus sp. JNUCC-1
Lineage: Bacteria; Bacillati; Bacillota; Bacilli; Caryophanales; Bacillaceae
Rfam family: tRNA
About the family: Transfer RNA (tRNA) molecules are approximately 80 nucleotides in length. Their secondary structure includes four short double-helical elements and three loops (D, anti-codon, and T loops).
Source: Rfam by way of RNAcentral